RNAcentral lists this unclassified non-coding RNA (77 nucleotides) under fungal sp. RNAcentral's name for it is "partial internal transcribed spacer region". The record is from RNAcentral. Lineage: Eukaryota; Fungi.
CUCCACUGGGCGGCAAAGGGGAGCAGGUCAAUCCAACUGGCAUCGGCAAGCGCGGGCAGCUCGCGAAAGAAGACGUU